UUUCUAGUUUACUGUCAUAGUGAAGUAUGAUAUUCCAUAAAGUUUGGCUCUGGCUUGUUAACUUGCAUUUUUUGUUUUUUACAUACAAGAGUAAGUAUUUUGUAGUGCUUAAUAUUAAAUAAUUAGAUAUAGAUUUAGAAUAAAAGUGUUAGGAGUCUAAGGUUGUGCCAGCAGACGCGGUUAUACUAUCUCCUAUGUAAGUUUUUUAUAAUAAGAAGUUUUUAUAUUUAAUAAAGUUUUUAAUGGUUAUUCAUGCGGUGAAAUGCAUAAUGUAAUUUAUUUUUGAUCUAAAUAAUUUUAAUAAGCUUUCAGCUUUAUAAAUAAACCAGGAUUAGAUACCCUGUUAUUGUAAAUUUAAAUUAUUUUAAGUAGUAUAAGUAAUUGAAACUUAAAGAGCUUGGCGGCGUUUUAGGCAAUCUAGAGGAAUCUGUAUUUUAAUCGAUAGUCCACGAAUUACCUUACCAGGGUUAGUAUUUGAUAAUUUGUAUACCGUUGUUGUUAAUUGAACUUAAAGGUUGCUUUUAGUAUUUUUGUUAAAAUUAUGACAAAUCAAGGUGCAGUUAAUUUCCUGGUUAAUAUGGAUUACAUUUGUUUUAUUAGCGGAUCUUAGUGUUAAAGUUUAUUUGAAGUUGGAUUUAGUUGUAUAAAUUCUAUAGUAUGGAAUUUAGAAUGUGCUCUGAAACGUGUACACAUCGCCCGUCACUCUCAUUAUUAGUGAGAGAAGUCGUAACAAAGUAGGUGUACUGGAAAGUGUACCUUGAAU
RNAcentral lists this ribosomal RNA (763 nucleotides) under Lithobius maqinensis. The record is from RNAcentral. Lineage: Eukaryota; Metazoa; Arthropoda; Chilopoda; Lithobiomorpha; Lithobiidae.